This 168-nucleotide ribosomal RNA is filed under the name uncultured bacterium. RNAcentral describes it as "partial 16S ribosomal RNA". It matches the Rfam family "Bacterial small subunit ribosomal RNA", at positions 1332 to 1500 of the family's 1533-position model. The record is from RNAcentral.
UCGCUAGUAAUCGCGGAUCAGCAUGCCGCGGUGAAUACGUUCCCGGGCCUUGUACACACCGCCCGUCACACCAUGAGAGUCGGGAACACCCGAAGUCCGUAGCCUAACCGCAAGGGGGCGCGGCCGAAGGUGGGUUCGAUAAUUGGGGUGAAGUCGUAACAAGGUAAC